Molecule: transfer RNA, 67 nt
Filed under: Lyperosomum longicauda
Lineage: Eukaryota; Metazoa; Platyhelminthes; Trematoda; Plagiorchiida; Dicrocoeliidae
Description: tRNA-His
Source: RNAcentral
UCUUUCUUAGGUUAAAUUAAACUAUCGAUUUGUGGGGUCGAUUAUCUGCUUUAUUGUGGAGAGGGAA